Molecule: ribosomal RNA, 157 nt
Filed under: uncultured bacterium
Lineage: Bacteria
Description: partial 16S ribosomal RNA
Rfam family: Bacterial small subunit ribosomal RNA
Source: RNAcentral
UGAGGAAUAUUGGUCAAUGGGCGAGAGCCUGAACCAGCCAAGUCGCGUGAGGGAAGACGGUCCUAUGGACUGUAAACCUCUUUUGCCGGGGAGCAAAGAGCGGCACGUGUGCCGCGCCGAGAGUACCCGGAGAAAAAGCAUCGGCUAACUCCGUGCC